CCUUAUGAAUCCACGUGUCAUCGUCCAUGUGUCACACUUUCCUCUUUUCUCUCUUUCACUGCUUCUCCUUCAACGUUUCAUCUUCCUCUUCAGUCUUCACCCCUUCUACAUGAUGAUUUUCUACACUCUACACUAAUUGAGUUCUCAUACACAUUUCCUCUUCCUCUUCUCAUUCAACCCAUUUAUUAACAUUUAUUUGUAUUUACCAACUAAGUCAUUACUUGGUUCAUAUUCAAUGUUCCAUCCAAUCAACCAAUUAAUCAACUCCCUGAAAAAAAAAAUUACAUCAAUUUAAUUCUCACCUUCCUCUUUCCAAUUUUAAUGGGACUGUUUCAAUAUAAUCGGAACCAUUAAUUCAAUUAUUGAUAAAAACGAUCGAUUGUCUGAGUUGUUUGAAACCGUUCAAACUGAAUAAUAGGAUGAAGAUGAAACAACAUGAGUUGUGAGGGUUUAUGGUUUCCAUUAAUUAUCAUAUAUAUAUCCGCAUCAAAUCUUCGCGGGUCGACGGAGAUUUUUUUCCCCUUUCCUCCAUUACAACAAUAUUUAUCCAUAUUUUUUUUCCCCAAGACGAUUGAUCGAAAGAGGAUGCACUAUGGGUCUGCACAUAAGUGAUUUCUUCUUCAACUACUACACCAUCGGAAAUUUGUCAUCUGAAGCUCCGAUACAACACUCAAUCCACAAAGGUUGUACUACAAGUGUGAUCCUUGCAACAAUCUGAGAUGGUGCAAGGGAGUAGUUGAGCAAGAAAACAGGGGGCAGCAGUAUGAAGGACAAUGGACAAUACAGGGGAAGCUUAGACGAAGGAGAAAGUACUGAAAAUAGGGGAAAUAGUAAGAUGCAAUAAGACUUGAAGCAAAUGAAGAAAAGGUUGAUACUGUAAUGUCAAUACAAGGCAUCUUACUUUGAUUUUGAAAUGAAGAAAGGCUAAUCCUAUUUAUGUCAUGGUUUGGGAUGGACAGGCAGAACUUAGGACUCAGGAGAGCAAGCAAGUACUUUUAGCAAAGAAAAGUUAAGACUUCAGAGAACUCUUAGCAAAGCAAUUGGGAGGCAAACAACAUGUGAAAGAAGUCCGAGGGCAGGGUCUUAUUAUUGGUAUAGAGUUGGAUGUACAAGUUGGCCCGCUAGUUGAUGCUUAUCGAAAUUCAGGAAUGUUAAAUUGUUAAUAUUAACUGCUGGAAAAGGAAAAUAGUGAGAUUGGUUCCUCCACUGACCAUAUUAGAACAGGAGCUCGAAACAGGUUCUGAGAUUCUCCUCGAGUGUUUCCCGUCCCUAGGUUGAAGCAGUGGAGUUGAAUUUGUGUACGAUGAGUCGAUGCUUGUCAAAUUUCCUUGUGACAUCAAUAGAUCCAAAGCUCAUAAUUGGCAUCGUAGCUGUAAAUCAGGAAUAAGUUUCCUACUAGCUUCUCUUUGGAUUAUGCCUUGAGUUUAAUGUACAAAUUGUCAUUUCAAGAUAUCCCACUCGUUAAUCAGAACAUUGAUUUUCUUUGUU
This is a long non-coding RNA of Spinacia oleracea (spinach), 1488 nucleotides long. RefSeq lists it as uncharacterized. NCBI's taxonomy places the organism in Eukaryota, Viridiplantae, Streptophyta, Magnoliopsida, Caryophyllales, Amaranthaceae. The record is from RefSeq and is a predicted model, not a curated record. The transcript is spliced from 2 exons.